Molecule: non-coding RNA, 21 nt
Filed under: Rattus norvegicus (Norway rat)
Lineage: Eukaryota; Metazoa; Chordata; Mammalia; Rodentia; Muridae
Source: RNAcentral
GUGUUUACUUUUCACUGGGUA